Molecule: long non-coding RNA, 6880 nt
Organism: Hypanus sabinus (Atlantic stingray)
Lineage: Eukaryota; Metazoa; Chordata; Chondrichthyes; Myliobatiformes; Dasyatidae
Exons: 3
Source: RefSeq, a predicted model, not a curated record
CAGAGCACAGCACCAAAUUCCUUCUGAAGCCGUUUGUGAGGAAGGAAAUGAAUCAGGAAAAAUAGAGCCACAGCUAAGUUCUGUUUCCGACACAAAGGUGGAGGCCAGAUAUUAUAAACCUCUGCCCCUUUUCAUUUUCUUUGGUGAUUCUCUGGGAAUUUCAAAGAUUCCAGACUCAUAUUUGGUAGCACAUUGAUUUACGAUGGAAACACAUAAAAAGAAUGGGUCUCACGACUGGCCGUUUAUCAAUAUGACAAGGAAGUGACCUAGAAGCCUAGCACACCUUCGGGGUUCCAGGAUUUCUUGUCUCUGGAGAUGGGCGGACUCGAGGUCGGUGCCGCCGUAGGAAGCUGGUGCAUCGUGGGAGAUAGAAGAAAGCAGCAAGCUGGCUGUUGGCUGUGUGCCCAGAGACCCGAGUUCUUUGGGCACUGAGCUCAGAAGAAGCAAUGCCACAGACUUUUAAUACCAUAAAUCAGUGAGUUGCUUUGUUAUGUCUCCCCACUCGCUGUGAAACAGGGACACCUCUUUUUCCCUUAUUCAGAAGAGAGAGAGCCUGUGGUACAUCAGAUUACCAAGUGAACGAGGAGUCUUUGGGGUACUGCAAGUCUGUGUUGUUAUUGAUACUUUGCUGCACACUUGAGUGCUUGGUAUGAGGUGCUGAUGUUCUGGGGGGAGGUGGCGGGUGAAGCUUUGCUGCUGCUUAUGCGUGGGGUGAGCUGGGGUAGGACUUUGGGGUUGUAACAUUUAACUGUCAUUCAUUCUUUGGGGUUCUCCUCUGUUUUCAUGGAUGCUUGUGAAGAAAAAGAAUUUCAGGAUGUAUAUGUAUACAUUUCUCUGACAUUAAAUGUACCUUUGAAACUUUGAACAAGGUGCUUUCGCCCACAGUACUACACUCAAUUGGGUUUUUUGCAUCAUUCUCUAUAAACUCUAGACACAGUUCUUUUCCAAUAUUUCUAAUUACAUAUAAUAGAGUAUAAGAAAAAAAUAUAUAUCUCAAUACAUUAUAUUAAACUGCAUAUAAAGACUCCUUACCCUAUAUUCAUACAGAUUAAUUCAUAACAUUGAAAUAUAGCAAUUUUAUUAUAUAGAAAAAUCUAACCCACUACCAAGACCAAAGCUGAUUAGUAAAGAAAAAAAGGAAAAAAAUAGUCAUCAUCAGUGCUUUAACAGCAAAUCAAAGGUUUUGAAAAUAAUUCAAAAAAGAUCGCCACAAUGUUUGAAAGUCUUGACCAGAUUCAGAGAUUGAACAUCGAAUCUUCUCUAAAUUUAAACAUGACAUCACAUAGCCAUUGGGCAUGAGUAGGAGGGGCCACAUCUUUCCAUUUAAGCAAGAACAUCCUUCUGGCCAUGAGAAAUAAAAGCCAAACUGUGCAAGUCAGAUGACUCCAAAAUAAUAUCCUUUCCUCCAAAAAUACCAAUUAAAGCAGACAAAGGAUUAGGCUUAAAGUUUAUUUUGAGAAGUAUCAAGAAAGUUUGAAAUACUUCUUUCCAAUAUUUUCCAAGACUCGGACAUGUCCAAAACAUAUGAAUGACUGAAGUGUCUCCAUUAUUACAUUUAUCACAGUACAGAGAUGUAUCUAAAUAAAAAUGAGACAACUUAUCCUUGGUCAUAUGGGCCCUAUGGACCACUUUAAAUUGUAGGAGAGAGAGUGUUGUUUAUGAAAAUCCCAGGAAAUCAGCAGUUUCUGAGAUACUCAAAUCAUCUUAUCUGGCACCAACAAUCACACAACAGUCAAAGUCACUCAGAGCAUAUUUCUUCCCUCAUUCUGAUGUUUGGUCUGAGCAACACCGUCUGCAUGCUUUGUGCAUUGAGUUUCCACCACAUGAUUGAUUAAUAGAAUCAAGUGGGUGUGCAGGUGCACUUAAUAAAGUGGUCAUUGAAUGUUUAUCUCAUUCUCAUUACUGAGUGCUGUCCCAUAAGAAUGUUGAAAAUCCUGGUGAAGAGCCAACAACCAAAUGUUUUGUUAUAAGUCACAGUGGAAUUGUACACCUCAAUGAUUAUUCCUCUUGACUUUGCAAUGACAUGUAGUCACUCAUGGAACAGGAGCUGAUAGGGCCAAUUAACCAAGGACAGCAAGGUACUGGUGCUCAAUUAUGGUGAAUGCCAGUAAAUAAUGCAGGUGCAUGAUCUCAAGCCUAAAUGUCAACCCCCAUAGAAAGUCACUUCCUGUAAUUUUGUAUUUUGCCUAAAUGCUUAACUGCAGAACCUUAAACAGUUUAAAAUAAUCUGAACCUCUAGAAUAUGUCAUUCAGCCCAUUAAAUCUGUGGUGCCAUUUUGUUGAGCAUUUAGCUGUAUUUUCUUAAACAAAACUUUCUCUCCUUUAUUCUCUUCUCCUGAUUUCUAAUGUACCUAUCACCUUCUUAUGAAAUUCAUAUUAAGGCAGCAGCCAAAGCUCAUCUAGGGAGAUAUAUUUAAUGUUUCACCUGUACCUUUUUCUAAAGUAAUUUUUUUUAACAUUUAGACCACAUUUUCUUUAAUCAGAGACAGGUUUCCUAUAACUGGUUAAUUUCUGAUCAUAUAUUUGUGGCCUAUUACCUAGACCACAAGCUGCUUGUUCGCAAUGUCAUCCGGAUUGGAAGAUGUACAGCCAUUGCCCACAGAAUGCCUGAAAGACAUCCAAUCCAAUAUAGAGUUAGGACAUUUCUCAAAUAUCAGUAAUGAUCAAAUGAAACAGGUGUUAGGCCCUUUUACUGUGCCACGCCCCACAGGUCUGCUGGUAUAAAUCAGUGCCAAAAAACUGCAGGAUUUUCUCUUUAAAGAAAGGCAGCAAGGACAAAAGUAUUAUUCCACAUCGGUACUGGUUACUAUAAAAGCUGUGAUCACCCUAUCCCUUCCUCUCAGCCUCAGUAAACUAUGUGAAUACAAGUAGAUCGAAUGGAGUGUACUAUUUUUCCCCUGAUUUCACUAAUACCUGGGUAUAAUGUGGCUAAAACACCUGGGCCUUACUGAGUACAUCCUUAGACUUUGUGGAAGGCUAGAGAAGAAAUUAUUGAGUCCCUUGCAGAGAUAUUUGCUUCUUCAUUUGCUUCAUCACUGAGGAAGUUCUUGAAAAGCAGGAAGUGGCUAAUGAAGUUCUGUUUUUUUAACAAAGGUAGAAAGAAUAAACUAGGAAACUACAGGUUAGUCAGCCUGGAAUCAGCAAAGGGGAAGUUAUGGGAGGGAAUUCUGAGGGAUAGGACCUACCAGCAUUUAGAUCGUUAGAGCUUGAUUAGGAAGAGUCAGCACGGCUUUGUGCGUUGAAAGUCAUGACAAGUAAAGUUAGGGCAGUAGAUGUUGUCUAUUUGGACUUUAGCAAGGCCUUCAACAAGGGUCCCACAAUGGUAGGUUGGUAUAGAAGGUUAGAUCCCAUGGAAUCCAGGGUGUGCUAAAAAAGGUGGAUUGGAGGUAGAAAACAGGGGAUGGUUGUUGACGGUUCUUCCUCAGAAUAGAGAUGAGUAACAAAUGGUUUGCUGCUGGGAUUGGUGUUGGGACCCUUGUUAUUCACAAUGUAUGCAUGGAGUUGAAAGGGAUGAGGUAGAUCUUAAAUGAAUUGUUUGCAUCUGUAUAUACUCAGCAGCCAAGACUCAGAGUCUGUAGAAGUGAGGCAAAACAGCAGUGAGUUCUCAGAUCACAGAGGAGGGGGUGCUUGCCGUCUUGAGGCUAAUUAGGGUGGAUAAAUUUCCAGGGGCUGGCAAAAUGUUCCUUUGGACAUCGUGGGAGGCUAGUGUAGUAAUUGCAGCGGCCCUAGCAGAGGUAUUUAAAACGUCCUUAGCCACAGGUGGGGUGCCAGAGGAUAGGAAGAUUACUAAUACUGUUCCUUUGUUUAAAAAAGACCCUAAAAGUAAGCUAGGAAAUUAUAUCCUGGUGAGCCUGAUAUCAUUAGUGGGUAAUUUAUUGUAAAUAUUUCUAACGGACAAGAUAUAUGAGUAUUUAAAUAGAUAGGGAAUAAUUAUGGAUAAUCAUCAUGAUUUUGAGCAUGCUAGGUCAUCUCUAGCUAAUCCUAUAAAGUUUUUCGAGGAAUUUUAUGAGGAAAGCUGAUGAAGGAAAGGCAGUGGAUGAUGUUUAUGUGGACAUUAGAAAGACCUACGUGGAAGGUCAGUCAAGAAGGUUCGGUCACUUGGCAUUCAGGAGAGGUAGCAAAUUGGAUUAGACAUUAGCUUCACAGUAGAAGAUAGAGUGUGGUAGUAAUAGUUGCUUUGUUGACUGGAGGCUUGUGACUAGUGGAGUGCCACAGGGAACAGUGCUGAGUCUGUUAUUAUUUGUCAUCUAUAUCAAUGAUCUGGAUAUAAUGGUGCAAACUGGAUGAGCAAAUUUGCAGAUGGCGGCAUGGUGGACAGCAAGGAAGGCUAUCAAAGCCUGCAGCAUGAUCUAGACGAGCUCGAAAAAUGGCAAAUGGAAUUUAAUGCAGAUAAGUGUGAAGUGUGCACUUUGGGGGACAAACCAGGGUAGGACUUACACAACAGCUAAUAGGAUAAUGUGAAGUGUGGUAGAACAAAAGGAUUUUCCAUAAUUUCAUUAUUUCCUGAAAGUGGCAUCACAGGUAGAUAGGGCUGUAAAGAGAGCUUUUAGCACAUUGGUCUUCAUAAAUCAAAUUAUUGAGUACAGGAGUUAGGAUGUUGUGUUGAAGUUGUACAGUGUAAGACAUUGAUGAGGCCUAAUUUAGUGUGUACAAUAGUUGUCACCUACAUACUGUUCAUGAAAGGGAGUAGAGAUAGACCAGGAAAUUAUAGAUCAGUGAAUCUUACUUCAGUGGUUGGUAAGUUGAUGGAGAAGAUCCUGAGAGGCAGGAUUUAUGAACAUUUGGAGAGGUAUAAUAUGAUUAGGAAUAGUCAGCAUUGCCUUGUCAAAGGGAGGUCAUGCCUUACAGGCCUGACUGAAUUUUUUGAGGAUGUGACUAAACACAUUGAUGAAGGUAGAGCAGUGGAUGUAGUGUAUAUGGAUUUCAGCAAGGCAAUUGAUAAGGAACUCCAUGCAAGGCUUAUUGAGAAAGUAAGGAGGUAUGGGAUCCAAGUGGACAUUGCUUUGUGUAUCCAGAACUGGCUUUCCCACAGAAGGCAAAGAGUGGUUGUAGACGGGUCAUAUUCUGCAUGGAUGUCGGUGACCAGUGGAGUGUCUCAGGGAUCUGUUCUGAGACCCCUUCUGUUCAUGAUUUUUAUAAAUGACUUGGAUGAGGAAGUGGAGGGAUGGGUUAUUAAUUUUGCUGAUGAUACAAAGGUUGGGGGUGUUGUGGAUAGUGUGGUGCCAGAGAUUACAGAGGGGCAUUGAUAGGAUGCAAAACUGGGUUGAGAUGUGGCAGAUGUAGUUCAACCCAGAUAACUGUGAGGUGGUUCAUUUUGGUAGGUCAAAUAGGAUGGCAGAAUAUAGCAUUAAUGGCAAGACUCUUGGCAGUGCGGAGGAUCAGAGGGAUAUUGGGGUCCGAAUCCAUAAGACACUCAAAGCUGCUGCGUAAGUUGACCAUGUGAUUAAGAAGGCAUACAGUGUAUUGGCCUUCAUCAACUGUGGGAUUGAGUUCAAGAGGCCGAGAGGUAAUGUUACAGCUAUAUAGGACCCUGGUCAGACUCCACUUGGAGUAUUGAGCUCAGUUCUGGUCACCUCACUAUAGGAAGGAUGUGGAAACAAUAGAAAGGGUACAAAGGAGAUUUACAAGGAUUUUGCCUGGAUUGGCGAGCAUCCCUAAUGAGAAUAGGUUGAGUGAACUUGGCCCUUUCUUGGAGCGAACGGAGGAUGAGAGGUGACCUGAUAGAGGUGUAUCAGAUGAUGAGAGGCAUUGAUCGUGUGGAUAGUUGGAGGCUUCUUCCCAGGGCUGAAAUGACUAACAUGAGAGGGCACAGUUUUAAGGUGCUUGGAAGCAGGUACAGAGGAGAUGUCAGGGGUAAGUUUUUUACGCAGAGCUGGCUACAGUGGUGGAGGUGUAUUCUAUAGGAUCUUUUAAGAGGCUCCUGGACAGGUACAUGGAGCUCAGAAAAAUAGAGGUCUAUCGGUAACACUAGGUAAUUUCUAAAGUAAGUACGUGUUCUGCACAGCAUUGUGGCUGAAAGGGCCUGUAUUGUGCUGUAGGUUUUCUAUGUUUCUAUGUAAGAUAUCAAUAAGUUUGAAAGAGCGUAGCAAAAAUUUACAAGGAUUUUGCUGGGACUUGAGGACCUGAGUGAUAGUGAAUGGUUGAAAUAGGUUAGGACUUUAUUUCCUGAGGCAUAGCAGAAUGAGGGGAGGCUUGGUAGAGGUAUAUAAAGUUAGGAGGAGUAUAGGUAGGCUAAAUGCCUACAUUUUCUACUGAGGUUGGGUGAGACUAGAACUAGAGGUCAUGGGUUAAGGGUGAAAGUGAAAUGUUUAAAGGGAACAUGAGGGGGAGCUUCUCCACUCAGAAGGUAAUGAGAGUGUAGAAUCAGCUGCCAGUGGAAAUGGUAGAUACAGGUUUGAUCACAACAUUUAAGAGAAAUUUGGAUACGUACAUGGUUGGGAGGAUGUGGAGGGUUAAUGUCUGGGUGCAGGUUGACAGGAUUAGGCAGAUAAUAGUUUGACAUGAUCUAGAUGGGCUAAAGGGCCUGUUUUGUGACAUUGAUACAAAUGCAGAAAGGUUUAUCAGUAAGUUAGAGGAUGACACAAAUUUAGGAGGUUUUGUUGAUAGUGGAGAAAGUUAUUAUAGAUCCUGGGGAAUUACACCUUCAGAAAAUGAUGCUGUUAAGUGGCGAUUCUUUGCAUGCAGUUCCAAUGGGAAUUGUGCUUCAAUACUUCAAUGAUAUUUGAGUGAUUUUGUCAAUAUAUUGCUUGAUUAAGCAUUUUUGUUUGUUUAAGUGAUUAAUUACGGGUUAUAUGUAAAGAUAUAUGAAUUGCAUAUGUCAUCACCCUACACUGUGAUACGUGUGCACCUUGCUUAAAGUAAACUCAUGGAUAGACCUCCA